CUACGGGUUGCUGCAGUGGGGAAUUUUGCGCAAUGGGCGAAAGCCUGACGCAGCAACGCCGUGUAAGCGAUGAAGGCCUUCGGGUUGUAAAGCUCUGUCAGGUGGGAAGAAGAACAUGACGGUACCACCAGAGGAAGCCCCGGCUAACUCCGUGCCAGCAGCCGCGGUAACACGGAGGGGGCGAGCGUUGUUCGGAAUCAUUGGGCGUAAAGCGUAUGUAGGUGGUUGGACAAGUCAGACGUGUAAGCCUACGGCUCAACCGUGGAAUUGCGUUUGAAACUAUCCAACUUGAGUGCAGAAGAGGAAAGCGGAAUUUCCAGUGUAGCGGUGAAAUGCGUUGAUAUUGGGAAGAACACCUGUGGCGAAGGCGGCUUUCUGGUCUGCUACUGACACUGAGAUACGAAAGCCAGGGGAGCAAACGGGAUUAGAUACCCUUGUAGUC
Molecule: ribosomal RNA, 442 nt
Filed under: uncultured bacterium
Lineage: Bacteria
Description: partial 16S ribosomal RNA
Rfam family: Bacterial small subunit ribosomal RNA
Source: RNAcentral